This 253-nucleotide ribosomal RNA is filed under the name uncultured bacterium. Its description in RNAcentral is "partial 16S ribosomal RNA". It matches the Rfam family "Bacterial small subunit ribosomal RNA", at positions 524 to 776 of the family's 1533-position model. The record is from RNAcentral.
UACGUAGGGCGCAAGCGUUGUCCGGAAUUAUUGGGCGUAAAGAGCUCGUAGGCGGUUUGUCGCGUCUGCUGUGAAAACCUAAGGCUCAACCUUGGGCUUGCAGUGGGUACGGGCAGACUAGAGUGCGGUAGGGGUGAUUGGAAUUCCUGGUGUAGCGGUGGAAUGCGCAGAUAUCAGGAGGAACACCAAUGGCGAAGGCAGAUCUCUGGGCCGUAACUGACGCUGAGGAGCGAAAGCAUGGGGAGCGAACAGG